This 889-nucleotide ribosomal RNA is filed under the name uncultured Spirochaetota bacterium. RNAcentral describes it as "bacterial SSU rRNA". It matches the Rfam family "Bacterial small subunit ribosomal RNA", at positions 28 to 896 of the family's 1533-position model. The record is from RNAcentral. Lineage: Bacteria; Pseudomonadati; Spirochaetota.
AACGAACGCUGGCGGCGUGUUUUAAGCAUGCAAGUCGAACGGGAACCUGAAGCUUGCUUCAGGGGGAAGUGGCGAACGGGUGGGUAACACGUGGGUAAUCUACCCUCGGAUGGGGGAUAGCACUAGGAAACUAGUGGUAAUACCGCAUAUUAUCGCUCUAUCAUAAGAAAGAGUGAUUAAAGGCGCCCUCUGCAUAUGGUGCCGUCUGAGGAUGAGCCCGCGGGCUAUUAGCUAGUUGGCAGGGUAACGGCCUACCAAGGCUACGAUGGCUAGCCGGCCUGAGAGGGUGUACGGCCACAUUGGGACUGAGAUACGGCCCAGACUCCUACGGGAGGCAGCAGCUAAGAAUAUUCCGCAAUGGGCGAAAGCCUGACGGAGCGACGCCGCGUGGACGAUGAAGGCCUUCGGGUUGUAAAGUCCUUUUCCUGGAGAAGAAUAAGGCCGGUAGUAACUGACCGGACGAUGACGGUAUCCAGGGAAUAAGCCCCGGCUAAUUACGUGCCAGCAGCCGCGGUAAUACGUAUGGGGCAAGCGUUGUUCGGAUUUACUGGGCGUAAAGGGCUUGUAGGUGGUGUUCCAAGUCGGAUGUGAAAUCUCCGGGCUUAACCCGGAAAUUGCAUUCGAAACUGGCUCGCUAGAGUACUGGAGAGGGAAACGGAAUUCCUGGUGUAGGGGUGAAAUCUGUAGAUAUCAGGAAGAACACCGGUGGCGAAGGCGGUUUCCUGGCCGGAUACUGACACUGAGGAGCGAAAGCUAGGGGAGCAAACAGGAUUAGAUACCCUGGUAGUCCUAGCCGUAAACGUUGUGCACUAGGUGUAAGUGGUUUUUUCCACUUGUGCCGAAGCUAACGCAUUAAGUGCACCGCCUGGGGAGUAUGCUCGCAAGGGUG